Molecule: non-coding RNA, 1302 nt
Organism: Peromyscus maniculatus bairdii (prairie deer mouse)
Lineage: Eukaryota; Metazoa; Chordata; Mammalia; Rodentia; Cricetidae
Source: RefSeq, a predicted model, not a curated record
UGUUCUAGCUUUAAAUGGGGUUGUAACCAUAUAGGAGAAUAAGAAGAAAUGAUUUCAUUUUAUACUUUGAAAUGCAUUUCUUCUCCCCAGUGUUUCCUAUUUCUAAUAAUGCAAUGAAAAACUAUCACUUGAAGGAAGAUAUAUUGUUACAUUUACUCACAAAAGGACACUAAAGUUCAUUAAAUUUAAAUAAAUCCAAUGGCCAAAACACUGUGAAAGAAAAAAUGAAAUAAAGGAAGAAAUACUUGAGUGAGACCCCAGGCCACUCAAUGAGCUUGUGGAGGUUACAUAUUUCUCUCUUGAAUCUUGCAUCCAAUUUAAAGUUUUAAAAGGAUCCCUUCUUCCUAAAGUUACCAUGUUCUUAUUUCUCCUUCAUGUUGCCUGCCCGAGUUCCACAUACAGUCAUAAGUGGAGAACAGUAGCCAUACAUGAUGAAAACUACAUUUUUGUUUUGGUUUUGGUUUUAGAGUUCUGCAGAAAGUUCACAUUAGUGUCUGGUCAUUCCCAACUGUUUAUUUCACAUCAUUUUCACUAAGUUCUUUCUGUCUGUAUUACUGGGUUAAUGGGAUUGACUGAGCUAUAGUAUUUUGAUUAAUUCAAGUCUUUUUAGAGCAGAUAACUUUUGACUCUGUUGAUGCCAGACCAUAUUGAGUUUUGAUAUCAGAACAUAGUGAGCUAAUCUACAUUGAGAAAUGCACAUGUAAUUACUGGUCAUCUGGGAAAUACUGAAUCUUAUGUUGACCAAACAUUGGUUUUUCUAGAAGGUUUUAGUUUUGUGUCUACCAGAAUUGCAUUCCAAAAUUUGGUGCAGAGGAAACAAUCUGUACUGCGGCUUCCUGCUUUGUGAUCAUAAAGACAUGCAUUUGGCAAAGCUCCCAGGCUUUGCUUUGCAGCCUGAUUCUGCCAUGUUGAUGAAUACCAUUUCACUCUUCCUUUGGCUGCCAGCAAAAGCAAGAUGAUACUUGGAAAGUAGGGAAGGCAGAAUCUUAAUCAAGAGUAGCCUUAAAGAAGCCAUGAAACUAUAUAUUUUAUUAAAUUUCCCUAUCUUAAAAUCUCUUAAACAUUUUUUAUGAUAAAAUGGGAUGUGGACCUGAAGCAUUUCUACUUCAUACAACAUGACUGAUGACAACGUGGGCACAGUGGCCAUGCCAUUUUUCAUUUGAAGGAAGAUCUGCGCUGCAACUAUGUUCACUGAAGCAUUAUUCAUAAUAGCCAGAAUCUGGAAACAACGUAGAAGCCCCUCAACCGAAGAAUGGAUAAAGAAAAUGUGGUACAUAUACAUAAUGGAGUACUACUCAGCAG